This 437-nucleotide long non-coding RNA is filed under the name Mytilus galloprovincialis (Mediterranean mussel). The record is from RNAcentral. Lineage: Eukaryota; Metazoa; Mollusca; Bivalvia; Mytilida; Mytilidae.
CAUAAGAGAACACAUACAGCUGAUAAACCGUAUGUCUGUGAUGAAUGUGGUAAAGGGUUUAGACUGCUUGGUAAUUUACAGGCUCACAUGAGAACACAUGCAGAGGAUAAACCUUAUGACUGUGGAGAAUGUGGUAAAGGGUUUAGUCGCCUUCGUUACUUACAAAUUCACAUGAGAACACAUACAGGUGAUAAACCUUAUGACUGUGAUGUAUGUGGUAAAAAGUUUAGUCAACCUAGUAAUUUAAAGACUCAUAGGAGAACACACACAGGAGGUAAACCUCAUGACUGUAAUAUAUGUGGUAAAAGGUUUAGUGAGCAAGGUGAUGUACAGACUCACAUGAGAAUACAUACAGGUGAUAUUAAAACCUGAUGACUGUUGUAAAUGUGGUAAAGGGUUUAGUCAAAUUGCUAGUAUAAAAAGAUACAUGAAAAGAC